AGGCACCCGAGGCCCGAGGUGCCAGCCGUAGAGGAGAGAACCCAACGCAAUUCCAUAUGUUCAAGAGGCAGAUCCAGGGAGACACUGUGCAGUAGGAGAGAAAUAUGAGAACCCCAAUCUCAGGAUUCAAGGUCUGGGGAUCACUGAAGGAAAGGCUCUGUAAACUCCUGUUCGUUUCUUCCCUGCACAGCUGCAAGAUCACAAGACAGAGACGCAUAACCUGCAAACCAAGUUUUCCCAGACAUGUAAGACAUGUUGCAAAAGUGUCACAGCAGCCUUUGUUCUCGCUUCUGUAAGCCUGCUUCCUGCUUCACGUAGUGCCCGCCUCAAAGUGCUUAAACUCGUUUUAUUUGUUCUAGGCUCAGACUCUCAGGACACAUGUCCGCUGAGCCGGUGUACACAUUAAAUAAACACUUUCUUGCACUCCGUUCAGUCUC
This 437-nucleotide long non-coding RNA is filed under the name Homo sapiens (human). Its description in RNAcentral is "HSALNT0347625". Lineage: Eukaryota; Metazoa; Chordata; Mammalia; Primates; Hominidae. The record is from RNAcentral.